GCUGGGUGUGGUGGUGCACACCUAUAAUCCCAGGGGCUCAGCAGGCUGAGACAGGAGAAUCUUGAGUUCAAAGCCAGCCUCAGCAAUGGUGAGGCUCUAAGCAACUCAGUGAGACCCUGUGUCUA
This 125-nucleotide small RNA is filed under the name Marmota monax (woodchuck). The record is from RNAcentral. Lineage: Eukaryota; Metazoa; Chordata; Mammalia; Rodentia; Sciuridae.